GACGUAGGGUGCGAGCGUUGUCCGGAUUUAUUGGGCGUAAAGAGCUCGUAGGCGGCUCGUCGCGUCGACCGUGAAAUUCCGCAGCUUAACUGCGGGCUUGCGGUUGAUACGGGCGGGCUAGAGUUCGGUAGGGGAGACUGGAAUUCCUGGUGUAGCGGUGAAAUGCGCAGAUAUCAGGAGGAACACCGGUGGCGAAGGCGGGUCUCUGGGCCGAUACUGACGCUGAGGAGCGAAAGCGUGGGGAGCGAACAGG
RNAcentral lists this ribosomal RNA (253 nucleotides) under uncultured bacterium. Its description in RNAcentral is "partial 16S ribosomal RNA". It matches the Rfam family "Bacterial small subunit ribosomal RNA", at positions 524 to 776 of the family's 1533-position model. The record is from RNAcentral.